AGCUCCAAUAGCGUAUAUUAAAGUUGUUGCAGUUAAAAAGCUCGUAGUCGAACUUCAGGCCCCGCUUUUCGGUCCGCCUCACGGCGAGUACUGUUGUGCGGGGUCUUACCUCUUGGUGAGCCGGUAUGCUCUUUACUGGGUGUGCCGGGGAACCAGGACUUUUACCUUGAGAAAAUUAGAGUGUUCAAAGCAGGCUUGCGCCCGAAUACAUUAGCAUGGAAUAAUAGAAUAGGACGUGCGUCUCUAUUUUGUUGGUUUCUAGUGACGCGGUAAUGAUUAAUAGGGACAGUUGGGGGCAUUCGUAUUCGGUUGCUAGAGGUGAAAUUCUUGGAUUUACCGAAGACGAACUUCUGCGAAAGCAUUUGCCAAGGAUGUUUUCA
This 380-nucleotide ribosomal RNA is filed under the name uncultured eukaryote. RNAcentral describes it as "SSU rRNA". It matches the Rfam family "Eukaryotic small subunit ribosomal RNA", at positions 587 to 972 of the family's 1831-position model. The record is from RNAcentral.